RNAcentral lists this long non-coding RNA (573 nucleotides) under Equus caballus (horse). RNAcentral's name for it is "lncRNA (ENSECAG00000046565.1)". Lineage: Eukaryota; Metazoa; Chordata; Mammalia; Perissodactyla; Equidae. The record is from RNAcentral.
AGUCAUUCUUGGACCUUCCUCCACAAUACCUCAUGAACUUGUUCCCCUACUGAGGACUCCUGUAGCUGUGAAAUGGGGAGGAGACAGCCUGUCAGAAGACUUGAACUCAUGUUGAAACCCUCCUGUUACACGUCAUGGAGUAAUGAGUUAGCCCCCCAGCUGUGAGUGCCUCUGGUUAUGCUAUGUGGGAUGCCACCUCCACGUGGCCUGAUGAGCGGUGCCAUGUCCGUGCCCAGGAUCCGAACCAGCGAAACCCUGGGCCACUGCAGAGCACGUGAACUUAACCACUUGGCCAUGGGGCUGGGCCCUCCAAUGCAAUUCUAAGAAAAAGAAUGCCUUCAAGGAAGUUAUGAUCACCAGAUAACCAGCCCCAGCUGCCUUUGCCACCUAGAAGUCUGAUUGCCCAAGGACUUAUCUGGAGUGAAAGAAACAUGGAUUUCUCCUUCGUUUCUCUGAAACUCCUUAGCUUUAUAAAGGCCCCCUGCUUUCUUCUUUCUUGAAGGUGGAUUUGACAGAACCCCUUCUUCCACCAUCUUGUUUUGGCCGAUUUAAAUAAAGCUUUCUCCAUCUCCA